UACGUAGGCAGCGAGCGUUGUUCGGAGUUACUGGGCGUAAAGGGUGUGUAGGCGGUCCCUUAAGUUUGGUGUGAAAUCUCCCGGCUCAACUGGGAGGGUGCGCCGGAUAACUGAGGGGCUAGGAGUGCGGGAAGGGAAAGUGGAAUUCCUGGUGUAGCGGUGAAAUGCGUAGAUAUCAGGAGGAACACCGGUGGUGCAAACGGCUUCUGGACCGUAACUGACGCUGGAGAACACGGAAAGCGUGGGGAGCAAACAG
RNAcentral lists this ribosomal RNA (256 nucleotides) under uncultured bacterium. Its description in RNAcentral is "partial 16S ribosomal RNA". It matches the Rfam family "Bacterial small subunit ribosomal RNA", at positions 524 to 775 of the family's 1533-position model. The record is from RNAcentral.